GUGGCGAGUGGCGCACGGGUGCGUAACACGUAUGCAAUUUGCCCAUAACUGGGGGAUAGCCCUCCGAAAGGAGGAUUAAUACCCCAUAACCCAACGAGGUGGCAUCACUUUUUUGGUAAAUCUCCGGAGGUUAUGGAUGAGCAUGCGUCUGAUUAGCUAGUUGGUGAGGUAACGGCUCACCAAGGCAACGAUCAGUAGGGGGUCUGAGAGGAUGAUCCCCCACACGGGUACUGAGACACGGACCCGACUCC
RNAcentral lists this ribosomal RNA (251 nucleotides) under uncultured bacterium. RNAcentral describes it as "partial 16S ribosomal RNA". It matches the Rfam family "Bacterial small subunit ribosomal RNA", at positions 88 to 339 of the family's 1533-position model. The record is from RNAcentral.